CGAUCAGCACUCUCCCUGCUAAUUAUGUGAGGUCCAGGAAGAUGGGGGCCCGGUUUCUCUGGUUCAUUGCCGUAGCCAGUCGGUCGCCAUAGCGGUCCAGGAGCAUCAGGACCACUCCACUGGUCCAGCCAAAGCCCUCUGGAGAGAGGAAUGGCUAGUAGGGCAGGAUCUCUGGGGAAGGCCCUCAAGCCCUAUUUUAGGGGGUGUGAGAUCUCCACCCAGGGGCUCUAGAACUGCCUAACCCCAGGAGGACAAAGGAGCUCCAGGCAGGCUCCUCCCUGUGGACCCGCAUCCACAGGAGGAAACAGGCCCAGACAGCGGAGGUCAUGGCCAGUUGUGGGGAGAGCAGAGCCCUGUAGUUCCUAUGGGAUGUGGGCCCACUCACCUGAACUUCAUACUCCCUCCACCACCUGGCUGACCACCGUUGCUGAUGUCAUACUGGGAACAAAAGGACAGGCUCUAAGGUCAGGCACUACCCACCCCACCCCCGCGCCCCCUCACCUCAGCCCUCUAGGGAAAGCCAGAAACGGGAGCCCCUUUGGGAGAAGCUGCCCUGGCCUGCAGUGCCCAAGAAUGGCCACUAGGUGUCACCACUGUCCCCGGGCUUUGCAAAGCCUGGCAAUUCCCCCAUCUCCCCAUGGGGAGGAGGCCCAGGAGGGUCAGGGCUCAGGAGCAGCUCACCUUCUCAUACAUGGCUGACUUUCUGGAGUAGACCUCAAAGUUGGUUCGGAUCCAAUUCUGAGCCAGCUGGAAAGCCACUGCCUGGGACCGAGGUGAAGGACACUUGGCCAGACCUAGACCCCACCCUGCUCCAGGCAGGACCCUGAGCCACCUGAGUCCCCAACCCAGAGGGAGCAUAGGCCUGAACCUUACUCUCCUCAAGGAGGGAAAGAGGCCCGAGCCUCAAGACCUCCAUCUUGAAACCACGUGAAAAGCCAACGUGCUCUUUCCCUAGGGCCUGGGUUUGGAGAGAGAAAGGAGGGCUGGUUCCCUGGACAGGUGGGGGCAGACACAAAUGUCUGCUGAGGGGGAAGCCAUGAGAACAGAAGAGCCAGAGAAAGCCCUCACAUCCUCUGUUCACGCCUCCCCAGUACCAGGGGGCUGACCCUCUAGAUGCAAGGGGGGCAGGCCCUGGGAUGUGCCCCACUGCUGCCUCCCUACCUCUGAUGACCAGGUCCUGCAAGGGGGCCCAGGCAUUGGGGAAGUCCCACUGCUGGCCUGUCUUCUGGAGAGAGGUCGGGAUCCCGUACUGAUAUUUCAGAGCCUUGCCCACGACUCCUGGGACAGAAAAGCAGCUGUCUCAAAAAGAAGUGUGGCUGAAUGGAUAAAAGUCCAAAGUCUUUCCAUGUUCAAGCUCAUAGUCAAACCAGGUAUCUUUUUCCUCAUCUCAUAGGAUGGCUUUCAAAACAGCCCAGUGCUAUUUCUGCAAAUUUCAGUAAUUCAUAGCUUUGGAGGCAUAUUCUUGGGUGGAACUAGUUUAGAUAGAAGGUGCAUACCCUUGUAUUCUACUGCAGUUUUCUAGAAAGAAAUUGAUGGGGGGGGAGGCGAUAGAAGGGGAAAGUUUACUUCUAACUCCUCAUCGCCUCCCUGAAGCCCUUACCAGCCUCCUCCCAGGUAAACUCACGCAGACCUGCUUCUUAUACCUCUAAUUGCUCACUCCCCAGCUGGGCUCUACCUUCCCUGAGCUAAUCAGCUAGGCCUCGGCUCAGGAAUAUUUGCCACUGCUGAUUGUGGCCUGUGGUCAGCACUGUCUGUUAUGUACUUUCUCUCCUUUGUCUGAGGCUCAGAGAGGGCAGAGGUUUGCCCGAGGCUGCACAGCAUCUGUCCUCCCAGCCGGCCCCCGGGGCCCUGGCACCUGCUGGCACAGAGUGGUGCUCCAGGACCCUUCCCCACCCAGCCCCACAGGAGCAAACCCAGCUCUGUUCCACGACGCCCCUCAAAAUAACUGACAGCCCACCGCUCUCCCACUGAAACCACACUCACUGGGACAGAACCAGGAGGCCAUGAACGGAGAAAGUACCUGAAGGAGGCAGCCAUCUCUACUCUGGUCCUACAGUUGCUCUCCCGAGGCCACGUUCAUGUACGCCUGUCUCAUUGGGACAGCAGUUUGGGGUUUCCUUUCUCCUUACAAAGAACACUGCCAGUUACUUCACCAGCAAAAAGGGGUUCGUUUAGGAAUAGCCGAGAACGGCCAUCUGGGCUGAGUAAAGCACAGGAAAACCGUGGGCAAGUCAGCAGAACGCAGAACAGGAACGCUGCCUUGUGGAGGAAGGGGGGCGUUGGGAAGGCUGCUGCGAACAACGAGCCCUUUGCGGUAAACUGGGGCGUUCUGAGUACGGUGGCUUUUCAUUGGCUGAGUUGUGACAGCCUCUCAUUGGCUGGGCUGUUGCUGGGGAGGAAGAAACCUACCCCUUCAGCUGGGAGAGGAAGGCAGCAUCCACUUGCUAGUUGGGAUCUGCACUUGACAAAGAGUCAGGGCAGGAGGGCUUCACCUGCCAGCCUCCCGGAGGUUGUGAAUGAGGUUUCCUUUCAUUCAUUUUCACACUCCACGCCUGGGCCAGAGGAUGCGGGCCCUGAGUCUCUGGGCCUGGCUUGGUGGUGGCCCCAGAGACGAGGCCAGGGGGGUGGAGGACGUGGUCCCCCUGGCCGGUCCUGAUAACGGCCAUUGUUUGGUGAGCACCUGCCAGGGCCGGGCUGGGUUAGCCAGGACUCCAGAGGCCGCCACGUGGGGCCGAGCAGACCAGGCUCCCGCAGCUCAGGCCUUGACCUCAGCCGUACCCGGCUGACCAGCAGCAGAGCCAGAACUCGUGCUCUGGCUCCCUGGCUCCAAAGCCGCAGCUGCCAGGCGCCCCCCCCCCCCCCCCGGCUGGCCUCUUCCGGACUCCACACCGUGGGGGUCCUGGGCUCCCUGUGCCCUCUCUCCUGACUGCAGGUGAAGCCAGAGGUCCUCAGCCACCCAGAGCAGUUCUCUCUGCUCUACUCAGAACACCCCUUCGUUGUGCCUGGUGGGCGCUUUGUCGAAUUCUACUACUGGGACUCCUACUGGGUGAUGGAGGGGCUGCUCCUCUCUGAGAUGCCCGAGACCGUGAAGGGCAUGCUGCAGAACUUCCUGGACCUGGUGCGACUAUAAGAGGGGAUGGGCUUGGCGCUGGAUUGGCCUUGGCCUUGGCCGCUGGGCAGAUGCCCCUCAGCAGGUCUCCUUCUCGGCAGCUAUGGACAUGUCCCCAACGGGGCCCGCGUGUACUCCCUGCAGCGGAGCCAGUCCCCCCUGCUGACUCUCAUGAUGCACUCCUACGUGGCUCACACCAACGAUACCUCCUUCCUGAGGUGGGCACCCCGGCCCCCUGCUGUCCUGUAGGCCCUCGUCCCUGAGACCUCCCUGGGCGGGACUGAGGGGGCGUGCCUGGGCUAAGGCGGUACCUGGCUCCGCCCCAGGGACAACAUCGAGACCCUAGCUUUGGAAUUGGACUUCUGGACUGAGCACAGGAAUGUCUCUGUGAGCUCGGGGGGGAAGAGCUUCAUCGUGAGUCACUAUUCUGUCCCUUAUGGGGGACCCAGGUAAAGAGCUGCCCUGUCAGCCUCUCAGUCUCUCAUUGUUCACUCUGGUUUGAGGGCCAGUGACUUAGCCCCACGUCUCGGAUGGUGAUGCUGAGGGGGUGGGUGCCUGUGUUGUCAGAAAAGCAGUGCCAAUGGGAGCCAGGGGAGCAGCGUGGCCCCCCCACUGGCGCAGUUCUCUCCCAGCGUCUUCCUACCUGGCCAGGCUGCGUAGCGACCACAUGAAGGCUGCAGAGGAAACUUGCCCCAAGGUACUGGCCAUGCAGUGGCUGCGUCCUGCUCUGCUGGGCCGUCCCUGGGGAAGAAGAGGCCCCAGAGGACAGAGACAGCAGACAGGGCACCACCAGGAUCGCGGGCAGUGGCACGAAGAGAGGACCGCUGUGGGUGAGCUCUGUCCAGGCCAGAGGAGAAGGAGAGCUGGCAGAGUGAGGAUAUGGAGGACAGGACGACAGACCAGGAAGACCACGGUGGGGGCUUUUCUCCUCUGUAGCAUGGCCACCAGCCUGCAUUGUAGGGUCCCCCUGCCCUCCUCCCAAGGCAAGACCGACCUGCUCCCCAAGGCCGGGAGCAAGACAAGGAGCCUCUCGGCCCCUCCCUCUGCACUCCUGCUCAAACCACAGCCAUCUGAGGACCAAAAACACCUCUCUCUCUUUCUUUUUAACCCCGAGUUGCCUGAAAGAUGUGCGUGGUCGGGCUGGGCCUGUGUCACGAGGGCUGCCUGCAUACACGGGAGGGCGGGGGACGACUCCUGGGCACUGGCUCUCAGACACUGCACGUUUCUCUAUUUCUGCACAUGGCAGCAAUUUUUGCAGAAAGGGUGAAAAGGGCGCAUCUGGGCCCAGGCACCAGCCUGCUGCAGCUGCCUGUGGCUGCCUCUGCCCGCCUCUGCCCACCCAGGGCAACCUCUUGUUCUCACCUCAACCACUGUGACUUCCUCUCCCCGUGGGAACAGGGUCAGGGGCUCCCGCCGCACCCAGACUCCUGGGCAUCUCCCUGCCCGGCCAGGAGUCUCACAACCACAGCUCAGUGUCAACAAAAUUCAGUGCUCCCAACUCAUGGCCCUGUAAGCAAUGUGAUUAGCAGUGUUUGUAAGUGUCCACGAGAGAUGCUUUAAGUCAGAACCGGGUCCCAGGAGACCCUGACUGAAGACCUGACUAUGCCAUUACAGGCCCUGUGCCCUGGGCCACUCACUCUAUCAUCCUAGGCCAUUGCUACAUAAAUUGAAGGCUUUGUUCUCCAUUAGGGGUUACAAACUCCAAUUCUAGUAACACAAAUGUGCAGAAAUAUGUGGGGGCAAGGGAACAAACAGUACAAGAGCAUCUUCUUGGGGAGUUAGGAGAACUGGGGUGAGAAAAUGCACUUUACUCUAUAAAGAAGCUCCCCGCCUCAGAAGGUGGUUGACACAAGGGAAUGUGGGCUCCUUAUUUGCUAGAUAUUCUGAUUAAAAAUUUUUUUUGAUGUUUUUAUUUAUUUUUGAAGGGGAGAGAGAGAGAGACAGAGCAUGAGC
Molecule: long non-coding RNA, 5062 nt
Organism: Felis catus (domestic cat)
Lineage: Eukaryota; Metazoa; Chordata; Mammalia; Carnivora; Felidae
Exons: 3
Source: RefSeq, a predicted model, not a curated record